CAGCUACAUAGAUUCAAACAUGCAAAACCAAGAUUUAUUUGUAAAGAGAAUGUGCACUGAACAGUGAACGAGCCAUUACUUCCAAUAGGUUCCAAAACACAGGACAAUAACCACAUUUCUGUAAGCAUGCCAUGUCUUAAAGUGCCUACUGCCUGACAUGAAUUUUUUUACAACAUCGGUAAAUAAAUUAAUUUAACAUCUUCUUAAAAUUUGGUGAAACCAAUGUUCAUACAAUGGUUUCAUUAUAACUGUUAAUUAUGGUAGGAUCUAUGUAGCUG
RNAcentral lists this unclassified non-coding RNA (278 nucleotides) under Hevea brasiliensis (rubber tree). Lineage: Eukaryota; Viridiplantae; Streptophyta; Magnoliopsida; Malpighiales; Euphorbiaceae. The record is from RNAcentral.